UUGCCGUUUUUCAGUCAUUUUGUAUUACGCACAGGAAUUUGAUACUGAAAAAAGGUAUCAAUUUCCUGUGUGUAAUACAAAAUGACUGAAAAACGGCAAACUUU
This is a non-coding RNA of Paramuricea clavata, 104 nucleotides long. Lineage: Eukaryota; Metazoa; Cnidaria; Anthozoa; Malacalcyonacea; Plexauridae. The record is from the annotation of a GenBank genome assembly.